GAGAAGAACGUAGCGAAAUGCGAUAAGUAGUGUGAAUUGCAGAAUUCAGUGAAUCAUCGAAUCUUUGAACGCACAUUGCGCCCCUUGGUAUCCCGAGGGGCAUGCCUGUUCGAGCGUCAUUUCACCACUCAAGCCUGGCUUGGUGUUGGGCGACGUCCCCUUUGGGGACGCGCCUCGAAACGCUCGGCGGCGUGGCACCGGCUUUAAGCGUAGCAGAAUCUUUCGCUUUGGAAGUCGGGGCCCCGUCUGCCGGAAGACCUACUCGCAAGGUUGACCUCGGAUCAGGCAGGGAUACCCGCUGAACUUAAGCAUAUCAAUAAGCGUAGGA
This 328-nucleotide unclassified non-coding RNA is filed under the name soil metagenome. RNAcentral's name for it is "partial contains 5.8S ribosomal RNA, internal transcribed spacer 2, and large subunit ribosomal RNA". The stretch from base 3 to 119 matches the Rfam family "5.8S ribosomal RNA", at positions 38 to 154 of the family's 154-position model. The record is from RNAcentral.